Molecule: ribosomal RNA, 402 nt
Filed under: uncultured bacterium
Lineage: Bacteria
Description: bacterial SSU rRNA
Rfam family: Bacterial small subunit ribosomal RNA
Source: RNAcentral
GGAGGAAUUUUGCGCAAUGGCCGCAAGGCUGACGCAGCAACGCCGCGUGGGUGAUGAAGGCCUUCGGGUCGUAAAGCCCUGUCGGGUGGGAAGAAAGGGCCGACGAGGACAAGUCGUGGGUUUUGACGGUACCACCAGAGGAAGCACCGGCUAACUCCGUGCCAGCAGCCGCGGUAAUACGGAGGGUGCGAGCGUUAUUCGGAAUUACUGGGCGUAAAGGGCGAGUAGGCGGCGGGAUAAGUCUGAUGUGAAAGCCCCGGGCUUAACCUGGGAAGUGCAUUGGAGACUGUUUCGCUUGAGUACCGGAGAGGAAGGGGGAAUUCCCGGUGUAGAGGUGAAAUUCGUAGAGAUCGGGAGGAAUACCAGUGGCGAAGGCGCCCGUUCUGGACGGUUACUGACGCU